GUUGACCUUGAGAAAAUAAAUAUGGUAAAAUGAACCAUUUGUAGAUUGAUUGACCUUGCAUCCUUCAGUUGCUCAUUAUUUCCAUCAACACUACAAACACACACUCACACACACAUACGUGAGCAUUAAUCAUCUGGAAUAUCAAGUGUCUAAGAUCUAAUCCUGAGAUCUGUGGAUAAUUUACUAUGGUUGCAAUGUUAGUAAGUAAUUCUGCCAAAAAGUAUUUUGGAAUUUUGAUACUUCAUAUUUUGUGUAAAUCCAAUUAAAUGCUUUUUUAUGCCCUUUUAAGUGGCAGUUAUCACUUGCAGAAGAUAGAACCUCAUCUUUGUUAAAUGCCUUUAUAUUUGAUGAUUUAAUUAUCAAUUAAAUGUAGAUUUAGCCUAAGCCCUUUGAAAAAACCUUACAGGACCAUGUUUUUUGAUUUGUAGAAACUGGAACAGAUUGUUUUGGA
This 451-nucleotide unclassified non-coding RNA is filed under the name Hevea brasiliensis (rubber tree). Lineage: Eukaryota; Viridiplantae; Streptophyta; Magnoliopsida; Malpighiales; Euphorbiaceae. The record is from RNAcentral.